RNAcentral lists this ribosomal RNA (28 nucleotides) under Ompok pabo (Pabo catfish). RNAcentral's name for it is "partial 28S ribosomal RNA". The record is from RNAcentral. Lineage: Eukaryota; Metazoa; Chordata; Actinopteri; Siluriformes; Siluridae.
GACCUCAAAUCAAACAAAACAACCCGCU